GGGAAUGUGGCUUAGUGGUGGAGUGUUUGUCUAGCAUGCAUGAGGCCAUGGGUUCGAUUCCUCAGUACCA
RNAcentral lists this transfer RNA (70 nucleotides) under Dipodomys ordii (Ord's kangaroo rat). It matches the Rfam family "tRNA". From Rfam's summary of the family: Transfer RNA (tRNA) molecules are approximately 80 nucleotides in length. Their secondary structure includes four short double-helical elements and three loops (D, anti-codon, and T loops). Lineage: Eukaryota; Metazoa; Chordata; Mammalia; Rodentia; Heteromyidae. The record is from Rfam by way of RNAcentral.